CACCGGCGGCUCGAGUGGUGGCCACUUUUAUUGGGUCUAAAGCGUCCGUAGCCGGCUUGGCAAGUCCCCUGGGAAAUCUGGCGGCUUAACCGUCAGGCGUCCAGAGGAUACUGCCAGGCUUGGGACCGGGAGAGGUGAGAGGUACCUCAGGGGUAGGGGUGAAAUCUUGUGAUCCCUGAGGGACCACCAGUGGCGAAGACGUCUCACUAGAACGGGUCCGACGGUCAGGGACGAAAGCUGGGGGCACGAACCGG
This 254-nucleotide ribosomal RNA is filed under the name uncultured microorganism. Its description in RNAcentral is "partial 16S ribosomal RNA". It matches the Rfam family "Archaeal small subunit ribosomal RNA", at positions 474 to 727 of the family's 1478-position model. The record is from RNAcentral.